UGACGAAGUGGCGAACGGGUGAGUAAUACAUCGGAACGUGCCCGAUCGUGGGGGAUAACGGAGCGAAAGCUUUGCUAAUACCGCAUACGAUCUACGGAUGAAAGCAGGGGACCCUCGGGCCUUGCGCGAACGGAGCGGCCGAUGGCAGAUUAGGUAGUUGGUGGGAUAAAAGCUUACCAAGCCGACGAUCUGUAGCUGGUCUGAGAGGACGACCAGCCCACACUGGGAACUGGAGACACGGCCCAGACUCCCUACGGGAGGCAGCAGUGGGGAAUUUUGGACAAUGAGGCGAAAGCCUGAUCCAGCAAUGCCGCGUGCAGGAUGAAGGCCUUCGGGUUGUAAACUGCUUUUGUACGGAACGAAAAGUCUCGGGAUAAUACCCUGGGACCAUGACGGUACCGUAAGAAUAAGCACCGGCUAACUACGU
This 427-nucleotide ribosomal RNA is filed under the name Acidovorax sp. Its description in RNAcentral is "bacterial SSU rRNA". It matches the Rfam family "Bacterial small subunit ribosomal RNA", at positions 88 to 506 of the family's 1533-position model. Lineage: Bacteria; Pseudomonadati; Pseudomonadota; Betaproteobacteria; Burkholderiales; Comamonadaceae. The record is from RNAcentral.